Molecule: ribosomal RNA, 525 nt
Filed under: Trigonophasmus sp. 1 AZR-2016
Lineage: Eukaryota; Metazoa; Arthropoda; Insecta; Hymenoptera; Braconidae
Description: partial 28S ribosomal RNA
Source: RNAcentral
CCUGAGAAACCCAAAAGUUCGAAUGGGGAGAUUCAUCGUCAGCUCAUYUUGUAUGUGUAUUGGUUAUGAUAUGAGUUACUACUUGUAGUACAGCUUGUACGUACUUKUACAUUUUUUGGYAARAUGUUGUCGGCGUGCACUUCUCCCCURGUAGGACAUCGCGACUCGUUGAGUGUCGGUYUAUGACCCRGGUGUSAGYCUUUGUUGUUUAAUAACAUUAAAGAACCUUGGUGUCUUCUGACCGACUGCUCGGCGGUACUCAUACGGUAUUYAGCCSCAUUUUGUGUGCGUCCAUGRCCGUCGCAAGCAAARCUAUYUACUGGUAGUACGGACYUCGUGCCGUCACUGGUGUUAGUUGGGYUGUUGGYUGUUACGGUUUUCUAGGACUGGCUUAAAAAAAAUGAUUUGSCGGKCGGYGAUGCUGCUUCUGUGRCUUCUUUGACGACCCUUCUAGAAACACCGACGAAGGAKUCUAACAUGUACGCYAGUCAUUGGGUGUUUUUUUUCAAUAAUAAACCUAAAGGC